RNAcentral lists this ribosomal RNA (292 nucleotides) under uncultured Acidobacteriota bacterium. Its description in RNAcentral is "uncultured Acidobacteria bacterium partial 16S ribosomal RNA". Lineage: Bacteria; Pseudomonadati; Acidobacteriota. The record is from RNAcentral.
GGACUACACGGGUUUCUAAUCCCGUUUGCUCCCCACGCUUUCGCGCCUCAGCGUCAGAACCGGUCCAGUGAGCCGCCUUCGCCACUGGUGUUCCUCCCAAUAUCUACGCAUUUCACCGCUACACUGGGAAUUCCACUCACCUCUCCCGGCCUCAAGCAAAGCAGUUUGGAGGGCAGUUCCUCGGUUAAGCCGAGGGAUUUCACCUUCCACUUGCCAAGCCGCCUACGCGCCCUUUACGCCCAAUAAUUCCGAAUAACGCUUGCCCCCUCUGUAUUACCGCGGCGGCUGGCAC